This is a long non-coding RNA of Mauremys reevesii (Reeves's turtle), 401 nucleotides long. RefSeq lists it as uncharacterized. The record is from RefSeq and is a predicted model, not a curated record. The transcript has 3 exons. Lineage: Eukaryota; Metazoa; Chordata; Testudines; Geoemydidae.
ACAGUUGCAUAGAUAUAAUGAGAACAGAAUUUGACUAAGAAAUCUCCCUUUACUACAGUUCAGAACACAGCUUAACAAAAAGCAAGGUGGGUGAGUGCAGCUUGGCUGAGGCAUGUCUUCUGGAAGAGGUGAGUUUUGAAUGAGAAGAUACCACACAGAGCAGAGACAUACCCCACGGCUGCCUAUCUUGAAUGUGAGGUUGAGAAGCUUGAGAACAAUAUGCAGGUUCCUUGAGCUUGAUCCUGGAAAAUGAUGAACAUUCUGGCCCUGAUUCUGUAAAGCACUUAAGCAAAUGCUUAAGCGAUAUGCUGGAUCUGAACUUGUGUUCCUAUUCGUCCUAUUUCUGAGACUUUUAUUUUAAGCAUCAUAGACUUGAUUAAAAAUAAACAAAAUAAACUGCA